GCCAGAGCAAAAAAGGGAAGCUAGAGCCACUUGCCCUUGGGGAUCUGGCCAGGAUAGGAGCAUCUGGCCUCUGCGAGUCAACAGGGACAGGAUCAGACUCUGUGUCAGCUCUGGAUCAGGCCACCCCCACUCCAGAGAUGGCCCAUGGCAGGAGCUUCCAGAGAGCGUACUCCCUCCGCACCCCCAAAUCCUCCAGCCUCCUGGAUUCCACCUACAGCCAGCUGGAGGAGAAGACAGAGAACUCGGACAAGGCUAAGCCGAGGUCAAAGAGGAGAGCUGUGAGCCUGAGGGAGUGGAAGAGUGGGAUGGAAGAGUCCCCAGCUGAGAGGACCCCCACCCCAGGGGAGAUGCCUCACUCAUUAACCCUCGAUGAUGGGGAGCUGCUAAUCGGCAAGGCUCAGAGCAAGGGCUCUCACAGGAUGAAGCAGUGCAAGAAGCAGGUGGACCAAGCCCUCCGCAGAGGCUGGGAGACCUUCGUGGCUAACCUGUACAGCGUGACGCUGAGCCGCCCGGCUCCCCCCUCCAAGGCCGCCCCGUCACUUAUGAGAACAUGUUGAGGAACCAGAAGAAGAGACAAUGACUCUGGGUGGCUGGGCCACUCCCAGAGACAUGAACUUCCUAGAGCAGCAUUAGCCACUGAUCUGGCUGUGUUGGGGACAGGGUGCUUUUUUAUAACAACUGGAGAUGGGCCUGGGCCACCCAUCCAGAUCCAGAUCAAUAUAUACCUCUCUGUCUGCCCUCAUAUACACUUAGCUAUCCAUUCCCACAGACACCCCUCUAUCUGUCCCCACAUACACCUAUCCAUUCAUCCAUCCCCACAGACACCCAUCUGGCUAUCCCCAUAUACAACCUAUUUAUCCAUACAUACCCCUCUAUAUAUCCCCCUAUGCACCUAUCCAUCUCCAUAGACACCUGUUCCAUUUGCCUAUCCCCACGUAGAUCUAUCCAUCCAUCCCCGUACACCUCUAUCUAUCGAUACAUCUAUCUACCUGCACAUGCAUCCUCCUCCUUACUCUCAUACACACCUGUCUCUCUAAGUUUCUCUCCCAUGGUCCAGGCUGGCUGGGAUCCAAGUUCCCAGCCUGGCCCCCUCACUGGUAACAGAAAUCUCAGCUCCGACUAUGUUUCUCCAGCUAGGUCUCCGUCCAAACCCGUAACCAUCGGUGCUACUCCCCAGCCCUUGCUGCUGCUCACCUAGCCGCAGCUGUAAUGCCCGGGCACCAUUUCCCUGCAUGUCAGCAACCACGGGGCCAGGGUGUGCCAGCUGCACUGUAAAUAGUCUCCAAGUCACAAGGAUUCCCAUUAUUAAUCCCACCCUCAGUAACCUGCCCUAACACAGCAAUCCAACCUAGUGGGCCCCACCCUAUGAGCAUGGCGCUAAGGGACUCAGACUGUCUCCUGCUUGGGGAGGGAAGGGGAGCAGACGGGAACCGAGUGAUUUUUCAGAGGGGUUGAUUUUUCACUAGGCAGAGCCACAGGGGCUCCUUAGUAGCCCCCCUUCCCAGUGUGGGUACAUCUCAGGCACAGGGGCAUCAAACUGGCUACUGCUGGGCGGGGCCAGACAUGCCUGCGAAAGGAGCAUCUGGGGUUCCCUUGGAAAGCCAGAGGGUGCUGGGGGAGGGGCACAGUGCCAGCCUCAUAGGAUGCCACACCCACAGCAGGCAGUGCCAGGCCCAGAGAGGCCCUGCCCAAUGCAGACAGGACAAAGGGUGCCUGAUGUCAGGCAAAGUAGUGAUUCUGGAACCUGUCUGGCCACCCCAUCCCCAGGCCCACACACUUUGGAGCCUUGGGGGUCAAAUGCUCUCGCUAGCAGGGAGGGGACACAAGUUGCCCCCUGGCAGAUUUUCAGCAACAGGGACCAGACUAGUACCUUCUGGAUCUAAAUGCAUGAGCUUCUCCUGCCUAAGCCAAAAGCCAGGGCUCUGCCAGGUCCUCAACCUGUGUAUAUGGCCCAGCCGCCACUAGAGAGGGACAAAGCACCACGCUGAGUGCCCCAGCGGUCUGGGGCCCUGGUGGAAUGAAGGGUUGCCAUGUUUUCAGCAUUGUAUGAAUAGUCCUUGUAACCUGAUGUGCUGCACGCCUUGCGCUAAUAAACCCUGAAACCCCACCA
This 2110-nucleotide long non-coding RNA is filed under the name Gopherus agassizii (Agassiz's desert tortoise). RNAcentral describes it as "lncRNA (ENSGAGG00000022770.1)". The record is from RNAcentral. Lineage: Eukaryota; Metazoa; Chordata; Testudines; Testudinidae.